Molecule: ribosomal RNA, 745 nt
Filed under: uncultured bacterium
Lineage: Bacteria
Description: bacterial SSU rRNA
Rfam family: Bacterial small subunit ribosomal RNA
Source: RNAcentral
ACGCUGGCGGCAGGCCUAACACAUGCAAGUCGAGCGGCAGAGAGAAGCUUGCUUUUCUUGAGAGCGGCGGACGGGUGAGUAAUGCCUAGGAAUCUGCCUGGUAGUGGGGGAUAACGUUCGGAAACGGACGCUAAUACCGCAUACGUCCUACGGGAGAAAGCAGGGGACCUUCGGGCCUUGCGCUAUCAGAUGAGCCUAGGUCGGAUUAGCUAGUUGGUGGGGUAAUGGCUCACCAAGGCGACGAUCCGUAACUGGUCUGAGAGGAUGAUCAGUCACACUGGAACUGAGACACGGUCCAGACUCCUACGGGAGGCAGCAGUGGGGAAUAUUGGACAAUGGGCGAAAGCCUGAUCCAGCCAUGCCGCGUGUGUGAAGAAGGUCUUCGGAUUGUAAAGCACUUUAAGUUGGGAGGAAGGGCAGUUGCCUAAUACGUAACUGUUUUGACGUUACCGACAGAAUAAGCACCGGCUAACUCUGUGCCAGCAGCCGCGGUAAUACAGAGGGUGCAAGCGUUAAUCGGAAUUACUGGGCGUAAAGCGCGCGUAGGUGGUUUGUUAAGUUGGAUGUGAAAUCCCCGGGCUCAACCUGGGAACUGCAUUCAAAACUGACUGACUAGAGUAUGGUAGAGGGUGGUGGAAUUUCCUGUGUAGCGGUGAAAUGCGUAGAUAUAGGAAGGAACACCAGUGGCGAAGGCGACCACCUGGACUGAUACUGACACUGAGGUGCGAAAGCGUGGGGAGCAAAC